CCUACGGGAGGCAGCAGUGAGGAAUAUUGGACAAUGGACGAGAGCCUGAACCAGCCAAGUCGCGUGAAGGAUGACUGCCCUAUGGGUUGUAAACUUCUUUUACAUGGGAAUAAAACAGGGUAUGCAUACCCUCUUGUAUGUACCAUACGAAUAAGGAUCGGCUAACUCCGUGCCAGUAGCCGCGGUAAUACGGAGGAUCCGAGCGUUAUCCGGAUUUAUUGGGUUUAAAGGGAGCGUAGGUGGAUUGUUAAGUCAGAUGUGAAAGUUUGCGGCUCAACCUUAGAAUUGCAGUUGAAACUGGCAGGCUUGAGUACAGUAGAGGUGGGCGGAAUUCGUGGUGUAGCGGUGAAAUGCGUAGAUAUCACGAAGAACACCGGUUGCGAAGGCAGCUCACUGGACUGCAACUGACACUGAGGCUCGAAAGUGUGGGGAUCAAACAGGAUUAGAUACCCUUGUAGUC
This 460-nucleotide ribosomal RNA is filed under the name uncultured bacterium. RNAcentral describes it as "partial 16S ribosomal RNA". It matches the Rfam family "Bacterial small subunit ribosomal RNA", at positions 338 to 795 of the family's 1533-position model. The record is from RNAcentral.